GAUGAACGCUAGCGACAGGCCUAACACAUGCAAGUCGAGGGGCAGCAUAAAGGUAGCGAUACUUUGGUGGCGACCGGCGCACGGGUGAGUAACACGUAUGCAACCUACCUGUAAGAGGGGAAUAACCCGGAGAAAUUCGGACUAAUACCGCAUAAUACUGAUUAUCUGCAUGGAUUGAUCAGUUAAACAUUUAUGGCUUACAGAUGGGCAUGCGUAUGAUUAGAUAGUUGGUAGGGUAACGGCCUACCAAGUCAACGAUCAUUAGGGGUUCUGAGAGGAAGGUCCCCCACACUGGUACUGAGACACGGACCAGACUCCUACGGGAGGCAGCAGUGAGGAAUAUUGGUCAAUGGGCGAGAGCCUGAACCAGCCAAGUCGCGUGAAGGAAGAAGCAUCUAUGGUGUGUAAACCUGCUUUUUAUACAGGAAGAAACAACGCUACGUGUAGCGUCUUGACGGUACUGUAAGAAUAAGGACCGGCUAACUCCGUG
This 490-nucleotide ribosomal RNA is filed under the name uncultured bacterium. Its description in RNAcentral is "bacterial SSU rRNA". It matches the Rfam family "Bacterial small subunit ribosomal RNA", at positions 28 to 507 of the family's 1533-position model. The record is from RNAcentral.